RNAcentral lists this long non-coding RNA (432 nucleotides) under Mytilus galloprovincialis (Mediterranean mussel). The record is from RNAcentral. Lineage: Eukaryota; Metazoa; Mollusca; Bivalvia; Mytilida; Mytilidae.
ACGCAAUAAGCGAAUUAGAUUCGCAUUCAAUUUGAAUUCAAUUUGAAUUAAAUGUACGUGUGAACAAGGGAUAAAAUACACAAUAUCAAAAUAACCACAUAUACCAAUUUGUUGUACUAAUUACACAAUAGUUUACCUGACAUUAAAACCAUCAUUUAUUUAUAUCUGCAAAGCCUUGCAAACACAAAAAUUUAAUUUUUCCUCAAUUGAUUAUAAUUAAUACCCACAAAAAUAAAUGAUCCACAUUUAUAUAUAACAUACAAUUCAAUGGCACAAGACAAUGCUGGCAAGAAAAUUUUGAAGAAAAAAUAAUCUUUUUAUACAUGAAUACUGUAUAUUGAUUAUUGUAAUGGAGUAUGUCUAAUUUCACUACUUUCACGAAACAAAUAGCCAAAAUUGGCAAUCAUAAAACAUUCCUUGCAUCAUGAUAAA